RNAcentral lists this ribosomal RNA (253 nucleotides) under uncultured bacterium. Its description in RNAcentral is "partial 16S ribosomal RNA". It matches the Rfam family "Bacterial small subunit ribosomal RNA", at positions 524 to 776 of the family's 1533-position model. The record is from RNAcentral.
UACGAAGGGGACUAGCGUUGUUCGGAUUUACUGGGCGUAAAGCGCGCGUAGGCGGAUCGCUAAGUCAGUGGUGAAAUCCCGCGGCCCAACCGUGGAACUGCCAUCGAUACUGGCGGACUUGAGUGCGUGAGGGGUUACCGGAACGAGCAGUGUAGCGGUGAAAUGCGUAGAUAUUGCUCGGAAGGCCAGAGGCGAAGGCGGGUAACUGGCACGCAACUGACACUGAGGCACGAAAGCGUGGGGAGCAAACAGG